GGCUGGUCCGAUGGUAGUGGGUUAUCAGAACUUACUAACAUUAGUGUCACUAAAGUUGGUAUACAACCCCCCACUGCUAAAUUUGACUGGCUUUAA
This 96-nucleotide Y RNA is filed under the name Sapajus apella (tufted capuchin). Its description in RNAcentral is "Cebus apella (Tufted capuchin) Y RNA". It matches the Rfam family "Y RNA". From Rfam's summary of the family: Y RNAs are components of the Ro ribonucleoprotein particle (Ro RNP), in association with Ro60 and La proteins. The Y RNAs and Ro60 and La proteins are well conserved, but the function of the Ro RNP is not known. Lineage: Eukaryota; Metazoa; Chordata; Mammalia; Primates; Cebidae. The record is from Rfam by way of RNAcentral. RNAcentral also lists the same sequence under 1 other name.